Molecule: transfer RNA, 63 nt
Filed under: Benedenia seriolae
Lineage: Eukaryota; Metazoa; Platyhelminthes; Monogenea; Capsalidea; Capsalidae
Description: tRNA-Ala
Source: RNAcentral
AACUCUGUAGUUUAAAAAAAAAUUAUAGUUUUGCAAGCUUUAGAUGGGAUUACCUCAGUGUUA